CUAGCGUCUUUGCAAUAGUAUCUUACAAAUGCCACAUAUUAUCGUGAGCAAAAAUGCUACAUCCAUAAAGGAUAAUAUAAAGCAUGCCAUGUCUAGCAAUGUCGAGAGUCAGGUUGUGUCCGGCUCUGGAGGGAUCUGCGAAGGUGGGGAGGUGUGCUUUAGUGAGCCAUCAGCAUGGGGCAGGUAGCCUUAACAGGCAGGGGAUAGGUAACUUUAAAGGGUGGGGGAGAUGGGAGGGGUGCCUCGGCGGAGGAGAGCAUCGUGGCGAGGAUGAGGAUGAGGAUGAGUAUGAGAACGGUGAGUAGAAAUGCGAGUUGCCUAGCCAUCGAAAUUGAGAAAUGCCGAUGAAGAACUAAGAAGGAUGAAUAGGAAGAAGGAAUGAAGAAAAGUAGAGAAAAUAAAUAAAAAGGAAGAUAAGUCACUCACCCACAGAUAUGAAUCCCUUGUCGCUGCCGCAUCACCGCCAUCGCGGCGUUGCUCCUCGCCGUGAUAGAUAUCAACUUCGUGGUCCA
RNAcentral lists this long non-coding RNA (512 nucleotides) under Lupinus angustifolius (narrow-leaved blue lupine). RNAcentral's name for it is "long non-coding RNA (LANG_LNC001296)". The record is from RNAcentral. Lineage: Eukaryota; Viridiplantae; Streptophyta; Magnoliopsida; Fabales; Fabaceae.